This 497-nucleotide ribosomal RNA is filed under the name uncultured bacterium. RNAcentral's name for it is "partial 16S ribosomal RNA". It matches the Rfam family "Bacterial small subunit ribosomal RNA", at positions 28 to 507 of the family's 1533-position model. The record is from RNAcentral.
GAUGAACGCUGGCGGCGUGCCUAAUACAUGCAAGUCGAGCGAACAGAUGAGGAGCUUGCUCCUCUGACGUUAGCGGCGGACGGGUGAGUAACACGUGGAUAACCUACCUAUAAGACUGGGAUAACUUCGGGAAACCGGAGCUAAUACCGGAUAAUAUAUUGAACCGCAUGGUUCAAUAGUGAAAGACGGUUUUGCUGUCACUUAUAGAUGGCUCCGCGCCGCAUUAGCUAGUUGGUAAGGUAACGGCUUACCAAGGCAACGAUCAGUAGCCAACGUGAGAGGGUGAUCGCCCACACUGGAACUGAGCCACGGUCCAGACUCCUACGGGAGGCAGCAGUAGGGAAUCUUCGGCAAUGGGCGAAAGCCUGACGGAGCAACGCCGCGUGAGUGAUGAAGGUCUUCGGAUCGUAAAACUCUGUUAUUAGGGAAGAACAAAUGUGUAAGUAACUAUGCACGUCUUGACGGUACCUAAUCAGAAAGCCACGGCUAACUACGUG